This is a long non-coding RNA of Leopardus geoffroyi (Geoffroy's cat), 5074 nucleotides long. RefSeq lists it as uncharacterized. NCBI's taxonomy places the organism in Eukaryota, Metazoa, Chordata, Mammalia, Carnivora, Felidae. The transcript is spliced from 3 exons. The record is from RefSeq and is a predicted model, not a curated record.
UGUUCCAGACAUUGUUUGAAACUAAUUUUUAAUUUUUAUGUGUUAUAUAAGCUUUUGAUCUUUAUUAUUUUCUAUAGGAACUUCCAUAGGUAGAUCAUUUACAAAAUCUCAUCAUUCAUCAGACUCCCUACUAUUCCUGGAAGGUGGUACUCACUUAUCUGGAAGCAGAGUCCAUAGCAAAGAACACCUAGCUUAAUUCUAUAAACAGUCUUCGUGAAAGGGAAACAGUGUUUGCCGUUCUCUUUCAGGAGGCCUGAAAAAUUUGGUUCUCCUUAGUGACAAGUGAAUCUGUAGUUUAUCAGUUCCCAAGGAGAUGCCUAAGUAGGUUUCCAAACAAUGAUCUACGAAGACUUUUCCUUUUUUUUUUUUUUCUUAGCAUUUUCUUGAUUGUACGCGAUAGGGAAAGAGUUAGUGAUACAAUGUUAAGUAAAAGCUUCUGUUCUCUUUGUUCUCAGAAGGCAGUCAUUCUCUAUGGUUGUGAAUAUGGUUUCUUUCUAAAAUAUCUAUGAAGAGUGUAUUUCUCCAGCAGUGACUCCUGUGAGAUCCAGCCUCCAGCAGCUUGAGAUGCAGUCUUUCUUGGUAUCAACGGCUUUCUGAAAAUACGGACUUUAUUUUUUUUUAAGCAUGAAUAUGUUUUGUAUGUUAAUUGUGAGGUAAUGGAGCCAGUUUGUUUUUAUUUAUCAAGUGUCCCACCCAUGCAAGGCCAUGUGAGAAGAUUCCCCUGGCUCCUAUCAGGAAGCAGAAGUAUGCUGCCAUGUGUCUGUAUGACCUAAACUGACCCAGCCCUGUGGUGCCUAGCACCUUCCCUGGAGAACCUUGCCAUGCUGUCACUGUACCAAAUACCUUCCCACCCAAGCCCUUCCAUGUGUUCUUUCUACCUAGAAUGUUCUUCCCUGGACUCUUCACCACGCUAAGCCCUACUUGCUCUUCAAGACUCAGCUCAUUACUUCCUGUGGGAAAUCUUUGCUGCCGGGCAUCUUGCAGAAUUCUUUUGGCAGGUAGUCCUUUCCCUACUGUAGGACUUCCUUCAAUGUGUUAUCAUGGCUUGUUUACUAUUAGAUCCUUUAAGGCAGGAAAAUGUGUAUGCAGUUUUAUCCGUACCUCUUAGUGCGUGGCACUUAGCAGGCAUUCAACACAUAUUUGUUUAUAAUGCUAUUUAUUUAAAUAAAUGAAAGUCUGCCUGCUGGCUACUGAGGCCUGUGAAAAACUGGCUGAGCUAGAUAGAGGUCAUGCAAACAAACAUACAAACCAGACGCCCCAGGGAAGCCUCAGCACUGGCAACUAGUACAACAUCCAGUUGAAUGAUGAUUGUUUUUUUGGUAAGUGACUAUAUAGACAAGAGAGGUACAGUUACAGUAAUCUGUACCUUAGGAUUGUUAGAUAGGCAUGCACAUUCAUAAAUCCCUGAAACUGAACAAAAUGUUUCAUCUGCAUUUAAGCAAAAUUAAACUUUUAAAAAAUAAAGUAUAAAAUGUUUAUGAGUUAAGAUUCAGUUUUGAUCCUCAAAUCAAAACACAUGCCUCAGUCUGUCCUCAAACCACACACAGGAUUUUAAGUCCUGCCCUUUUUUCCCCCGGAAGCCGAAAAAACCUCUAAAUAUGCUGACAGGCAGUCAUUUUUCUACCCUCUCUAAUUUUUCUUCCAUUUUAGUUUAAAAAAACACAGAACUUUCAUGGACAGAUAAUUCAGGUUUGCGCAAAGGGAAUGAAUACAUUUGUUACAAACAAAUAACAAACCUGUUAGGUUUCUCUUCCGCUCAGCAAGGAAGCUAUUUGCCCCGACCACAAAUGCUAAUGAACUGCUUACAUGCACUGGGGUGUGUGCGUCUGUGUUUAAAAAUAGGAUCUGGGUAUAAAGCUGCAAACUUCAGGGCUGCAAAGCUGGCAGCUUGGUAUUACAUAAAAAUACCCAGCUGAUGGACAUCCAGAACCAACACUUGCUGUAAUAGCACACAGCAAUUUCGUCAAUUUUUACUCUUAUCAGCACAAGUUGUUAACCUGGAAAACGGUGGCAGAGCCAUCCUCUCUUAGACUAGAAACUCAGUCUAUCGAUGCAGACCUCUGUCUGUAGAUCCCUCUCCUGUGAGGAAAAUGAACAUGAAACAGAAGAGUUCCUAGCAGUCUGUUUUUUUCAUGGGCUCCGCUUUACUAGAAACUGUUUAACAGAGAAUUUUUCUUUAGAAUAUUGCUGCUUCAGAUAUUAUAGCUAAAGGGUCAGCCCUCUUCAAGUACCCAAAGCCUAAUUCCCUUGGAUAAUCUGACAAUAAUCCCUUUUCUACAAAAGCAUUUUGGUACCAUCCCUUGGCCUGGACCAUCAACCUCCUUCUCUCUUAAUGCCACCCAUCCUUCAGGGUCCACUCCAAGAUGACCACCCCAACUAUGCUCAGCCUUCCCAGAUGAUCGGAUUCCACACCACACCAAUGAUAACACCAAUAACAGCCUCUCUUUAUUGAGGGCCUACUCUUUGAGAGGUGCACUGUGCCAUCACUGCAGUUAAUCCUUAAAACUGCUAUUUCACAGAUGAUGAAAUUGAGGCUCAGAGAUGUUCAGUAGCUUGCCCAAAAUUACACAGCUUGUAAAUGACUAGGGGGCUGGCAGGCUAGGAUGUCUAAUUCCAAACCCCAUGCUUUCUCUAUAACUCCACAUUGCUACUUAUUUACUAUUUCUUUUUCCUAAAUAUGGUUUUCUCCCACAAGAGGCAUAGCUCAUGAUGGUCCAGUCCCUGAGGAAAGGAACAGCAGCAAGGCACAGAGCUCCUGCUUGGUGCUCAUGAGUGUCUGUCCCAGGCUGAAUGGGGGAUUGGGUGAGGGGAGAUACCCCUGCAUUGGUACCUGGGAAUUCUGGGAAUACCAGCUGCACUCCCCUGGAAUGCAAUAAAGACAUUUCUACCUUGAACACUAUUUCAGGUUUCAUUACAAACACUUAGGAGAUAUGGUUGUAUGGUGUUACCCUGGCUUCUAACGUAGCCAACUCAGUGUGAUUUGAUGGACGUAACUGCUAGGUUAGGAGAGCUUAGCAGCAAGGUAGACCUUCUGUGACUAGGAAUGUUGAGUUAUAGGAGAUUCUUCUUGAGAAAUAUUCAGAUUUCUGUCUUUCUUCUUUAUCCUCAUUACCUUAAGAUGGAUGACUGCUGGGAAGGACAACUGAGUACAAUUUCCCCGUUCAGGGAAUGUUCUGGAGGAAACACAACUCACUGAAAUUAAAAGAUGGCUUCUGCCACGGAAGCUCCAUGACUGAGGAUAAAAAACCCAAGCAGAGAAUGACCCAAGCUGAAACUGUCCAGGAACACGCUUUCUAUAAAGUAGCUCAUGAGUGUCAUGGUCACAGCCACUGUACAGACCUGUGUGGGUGACUCAGCAGUUCCCUGACUUGUGCAGCAAAUUCUCUAGAAGGAACUAAGUUAUAUCCCAACUUGUGGCUGUCUGAGUGACAUAAAAGGAGAAGUAAAAACACAAUUUUGAGAAAAACAGUAUGGAGUUGCCUUUGCUAACUCUGAUACAUAAAGCAGUUUCUAUUUUCUUUCCUUUCUAACUUCUCCUUCAGAGAAACAUCUUCUUUGUCUGAAUAUUUCUUUUUCUUCCUUUCUUUUUUGCAAUGGACAGAGUUUCUCUAGACUUCAAAGGGAGACAUGGGAGGGGAGAACUAGGUCUUAUCUUUCUGCCUCUUACAAUGUGCGGUUAAUAGAAUCUUAUUAGCAAGAAAGAAGAAUCACUGUACAAGAGAAAACACACCUGGAAAAUAUCCACACUUUAGUUUAUGAAGACUAUGUUUGGAAACCAAAACUGCAUGUUGUAUUAUCUUAUAUUUCUAAGUAGAUGCCUGAGAGAUGGGGGCCCCUGAAGGAGGAAAAAGGGGCAAGACUAUCAUCUUGUGUCCACUUGUACUUGGUUCCCUCAACCUCUCCCCACUUCAUCCUGGACAGAUGACACCCACGGAGAAGGACAUGCUGAUCUUCAGGAUUUUAGGCUUACAGUGCCUUCAAGAACCUUACAUCUGGACCACCAGAAAGAACCCCGAGUGCUUGUGACUGAGGAUGGAGUGGGGCAAGGUAGAAAUGUGAAGGAUGGUUUCCAACAACAUGCCCCCACCAGCCCAGGAUUCCUUCUGGUAGGCCAGAGCUGGAGGGACUGUUCACUCUUUUAUCACAAACUAGAGCUUCACUAGGAGAAAAAGUUAGAACAGGUCACUUACUCCCAGCCCAGAUCCAUGCAGCCUAAAAAUUCUGUUAAAGCAAAAAAGGAAAAUUGGAGGAUAAAAGGAAGAAAUAAAAGGAAUAAAGAGCAGGAGAGAGAGACUCAAUUUCAGAGUGAUCACACUGGAUACAGGUCAAGGUUCAAAAUACUAAAACUGUUUUUAAUGUUCCACUAAGUAGCAGCCUCUCAGUGCCUCUGACAAGUGAUUUAAGACAAGUGGUCUGCUCCCAAGGGGGCUCAUGAAUCUCCAUGCAUGACGGUUAGAUCGAGAGAGUCUGGAGUCACACAGUUGGAAAGGUGGCAAUGCAAAGGUCAGAAAUACAAGGGAGGAGUCCAUCCAUCAACCCUGACAGGCGGGCAUGCCCAGGACGGCAGAAGGGACAGGAGCCAUCUGGUAGCUUUGCUUGCAAGACCAGAUUAAGAAAGCACUAGCCCAGAAACCACAAAGGAGAAGAUGGAGCUGUAUUUCCGGAGGAAAAAGCAAAGACUUCUACCCAAAGCUGAGAAUAAUCAUCCCCUCUGCUCCACCUACUCCCUGAGAGAAUCAAGCUCACUCAAAAUGCCACCCACAGACUCAAGCCUGAAGAACAGAGCUGAAAACCUGGCACAGCACCUCUGAAAAAUUGUUCAGCACUGACCCUGGCCAAUGGAUGUGGAAAUCUCAUCUGUGGUCAAAAUCACCCUCACAGAUCAGGCCACAGAUGCAAAUCCAUUUUCUGCCAUGGUAUCCACAGACCUCAUCUACAGCUUUCUGAUGACUGGCUUUCAUUCUAAUUGAAAGGCCAACGAUAAGAUCCUGAUGGAAUUUUUCCUUAACAUUAAAAGCACAAAGGGGCACCUGGGUGGCUCAGUCAGUUAAGUGCCUAACUUCGGCUCAGGUCA